GGCGAACGCUGGCGGCGUGCUUAACACAUGCAAGUCGAACGGAAAGGCCCUGCUUUUGUGGGGUGCUCGAGUGGCGAACGGGUGAGUAACACGUGAGUAACCUUCCCUUGACUUUGUGAUAACUUCAGGAAACUGGGGCUAAUACCGGAUAUGAUCUCCUGCUUCAUGGUGUGGGUUGGAACGUUUCGGCGGUUGGGGAUGGACUCGCGGCUUAUCAGCUUGUUGGUGGGGUAGUGGCUUACCAAGGCUUUGACGGGUAGCCGGCCUGAGAGGGUGACCGGCGAAAUGGGGACUGAGAGACGGCACAGACUACUACGGGAGGCAGCAGUGGGGAAUAUUGCACAAUGGGAGGAAGCAUGAUGCAGCAACGCAGCGUGCGGGAUGACGGCCUUCGGGUUGUAAACCGAUUUAGCAUGUGACGAAGAGUGAGUGACGGUAAUGGGUAAAGAAGCACCGGCUAACUACGUG
This 468-nucleotide ribosomal RNA is filed under the name uncultured bacterium. RNAcentral's name for it is "partial 16S ribosomal RNA". It matches the Rfam family "Bacterial small subunit ribosomal RNA", at positions 28 to 507 of the family's 1533-position model. The record is from RNAcentral.